UACGGAGGGGGCAAGCGUUGUUCGGAAUUACUGGGCGUAAAGGGCGCGCAGGCGGCUGCUCAAGUCAGGCGUGAAAGGCCUGGGCUCAACCCGGGAAUUGCGCUUGAGACUGGGCUGGCUUGAGUGCGGGAGAGGAUGGUGGAAUUCCCAGUGUAGAGGUGAAAUUCGUAGAUAUGGGGAGGAACACCGGUGGCGAAGGCGGCCAUCUGGACGGAUACUGACGCUGAGACGCGAAAGCGUGGGGAGCAAACAGG
Molecule: ribosomal RNA, 254 nt
Filed under: uncultured bacterium
Lineage: Bacteria
Description: partial 16S ribosomal RNA
Rfam family: Bacterial small subunit ribosomal RNA
Source: RNAcentral